RNAcentral lists this ribosomal RNA (442 nucleotides) under Starmerella etchellsii. RNAcentral describes it as "partial large subunit ribosomal RNA". It matches the Rfam family "Eukaryotic large subunit ribosomal RNA", at positions 79 to 535 of the family's 3401-position model. Lineage: Eukaryota; Fungi; Ascomycota; Dipodascomycetes; Dipodascales; Trichomonascaceae. The record is from RNAcentral.
CCUAGUAACGGCGAGUGAACAGGCAAGAGCUCAGAUUUGAAAGCCUUUUUGGCAUUGUAUUCUGAAGUCAGUUUCCUGAGUAUCGGUGUUUAAGUCUUCUGGAAAGGAGCGCCAUGGAGGGUGAUAGCCCCGUACGACACCUCACUCAUUGUAGGAUUCUGACGUGGAGUCGAGUUGUUUGGGAAUGCAGCUCAAAAGGGUGGUAUGCUCCAUCUAAAGCUAAAUAUCUGUGAGAGACCGAUAGCGAACAAGUACUGUGAAGGAAAGAUGAAAAGAACUUUGAAAAGAGAGUGAAAAAGUACGUGAAAUUGUUGAAAUGGAAGGAUAUGCCGCUAACAAUGUAGAGCCGUGUUUGGGGGGAAGACAAAAGCUGAAGAAUGUAUCUCUUUUAGGGAAUUAUAACUUCAGUCAAUAUUCCCAUCCGGGCGCGAGGACCUCAGGC